GGGGAAUAUUGCACAAUGGGCGCAAGCCUGAUGCAGCAACGCCGCGUGAGGGAUGACGGCCUUCGGGUUGUAAACCUCUUUUGUCAAGGAAGAAGCCUUCGGGUGACGGUACUUGGAGAAAAAGCACCGGCUAACUACGUGCCAGCAGCCGCGGUAAUACGUAGGGUGCAAGCGUUGUCCGGAAUUAUUGGGCGUAAAGAGCUCGUAGGCGGCUUGUCGCGUCUGCCGUGAAAGCCCGAGGCUCAACCUCGGGUCUGCGGUGGGUACGGGCAGGCUAGAGUGCGGUAGGGGAGAUUGGAAUUCCUGGUGUAGCGGUGGAAUGCGCAGAUAUCAGGAGGAACACCGAUGGCGAAGGCAGAUCUCUGGGCCGUAACUGACGCUGAGGAGCGAAAGCAUGGGGAGCGAAC
This 407-nucleotide ribosomal RNA is filed under the name uncultured bacterium. RNAcentral describes it as "bacterial SSU rRNA". It matches the Rfam family "Bacterial small subunit ribosomal RNA", at positions 356 to 773 of the family's 1533-position model. The record is from RNAcentral.